Molecule: ribosomal RNA, 510 nt
Filed under: uncultured bacterium
Lineage: Bacteria
Description: partial 16S ribosomal RNA
Rfam family: Bacterial small subunit ribosomal RNA
Source: RNAcentral
GACGAACGCUGGCGGCGUGCUUAACACAUGCAAGUCGAACGAAGAGCGAUGGAUGCUUGCUUCUCUCAAUCUUAGUGGCGAACGGGUGAGUAACGCGUAAUCAACCUGCCCUUCAGAGGGGGACAACAGUUGGAAACGACUGCUAAUACCGCAUACGAUCUAAUCUCGGCAUCGAGGAUAGAUGAAAGGUGGCCUCUACAUGUAAUCUAUCACUGAAGGAGGGGAUUGCGUCUGAUUAGCUAGUUGGAGGGGUAACGGCCCACCAAGGCGAUGAUCAGUAGCCGGUCUGAGAGGAUGAACGGCCACAUUGGGACUGAGACACGGCCCAGACUCCUACGGGAGGCAGCAGUGGGGAAUCUUCCGCAAUGGACGAAAGUCUGACGGAGCAACGCCGCGUGAGUGAUGACGGCCUUCGGGUUGUAAAGCUCUGUUAAUCGGAACGAAAGGCCUUCUUGCGAAUAGUGAGAAGGAUUGACGGUACCGGAAUAGAAAGCCACGGCUAACUACGUG